Molecule: ribosomal RNA, 116 nt
Filed under: Pteropus alecto (black flying fox)
Lineage: Eukaryota; Metazoa; Chordata; Mammalia; Chiroptera; Pteropodidae
Source: RNAcentral
GUCUACAGCCAUGCCACCUUGAACAAGCCUAAUGUCCGAUCCUGGAAGCUAAACAGGGUCGGGCUUGGUUAGUACUUGGAUGGGAGACCACCUAGGAAGACCAGGUGCUGUAGACA